CCCAGACUCCUACGGGAGGCAGCAGUGGGGAAUAUUGCACAAUGGGGGGAACCCUGAUGCAGCGACGCCGCGUGGGUGAAGGAGCGUUUCGGCGCGUAAAGCCCUAUCGGCAGGGAAGAAGGAGGACGGUACCUGACUAAGAAGCCCCGGCUAACUACGUGCCAGCAGCCGCGGUAAUACGUAGGGGGCAAGCGUUAUCCGGAUUUACUGGGUGUAAAGGGGGCGCAGACGGCAGCGCAAGCCAGGAGUGAAAGCCCGGGGCCCAACCCCGGGACUGCUCUUGGAACUGCGCGGCUGGAGUGCAGGAGGGGCAGGCGGAAUUCCUGGUGUAGCGGUGAAAUGCGUAGAUAUCAGGAGGAACACCGGUGGCGAAGGCGGCCUGCUGGACUGCGACUGACGUUGAGGCCCGAAAGCGUGGGGAGCAAACAGGAUUAGAUACCCUAGUAU
Molecule: ribosomal RNA, 447 nt
Filed under: uncultured bacterium
Lineage: Bacteria
Description: bacterial SSU rRNA
Rfam family: Bacterial small subunit ribosomal RNA
Source: RNAcentral